CAGGCCGCGUGUGAGCGGUUCCUCGCGAGACAUUUCCUCACGUGACACGAGCUGACACGGCGGCGCGCCCAAGCAAUUUUCCCUUCACUUGUUCGCCAGUUACGGCUGGCCACUGACGACAGGGGCAGAGGGAGACAAGACCUGGUAUUUGCAGCUGUUUGCUUCACUUCACGCCGGCUGACAGUCUAUGGGACAGUCACAAGCCUCCCUGUUUUCAUCCAGAAUAUCCUAAAUUGUGUUCCGAAGAUGAACAAAGCUUUAAUGGGUUUGGAACGACAUGGGGGAAGCUGUUUUUGGCAGUGUUACAGGGGCCCAUCUUGAGCAGUUAUGCCUGACUGCAGCUCUGCUGGAUCAAGCAGCUUCUCAUUAGCCAACUGUCGCAGGAGGUUCUGAUGUCCAUCCAGUCGCCGCCGGUGUUCACGGGGUCGUGGCGGGAAAUUCUGCGUCCUUGUUUGCAUCGGAGAACGAAUGGAAUGUUGAAACUCUUAGUAGCUGUUUGGACUCUCAUUCUGACGGCACCCAUUCACUGCAGAGGAUUCAUUAGUGGGCAAGUGAUGGAGUGCUACAUUUUUCCAAAUCUUAUGAAGAAACAAACUCAUCUGCAUCUUGGAUGGCCUGAGGUGCAUGACUCGAACCCGGAACUGAACAUAACUCUCAGCAUGAGUCCAGCCCGCAGGAGGAGGAAAUAAGACGUGACACCAAUAUAACUGACAAAACGGAUGCACACUCCAUAAUGCACCAGCAGGACACUGAAACAACCACUGAUUUUGUUUCCCAAGGCAUUAAGAAAGGCUUUAAAUAACUAAUUUAGACAUAUGGAUGACAUCACUGCUUUAUGCAUAUUCUACAUUACAUUACACAUGUGCAGCACAAUAAGAAAGAAAGAAAGAAAGAAAGAAAAGCUUCCUCUUGUCACUUCCC
This is a long non-coding RNA of Cyprinus carpio carpio, 921 nucleotides long. Lineage: Eukaryota; Metazoa; Chordata; Actinopteri; Cypriniformes; Cyprinidae. The record is from Ensembl.